AGGAUGACAUGCAUGUGAAGGAAGAUGUGUAUGCCGCUCGUCCCAGCUUGAUACACCCAUGAUCAUUGUUGUAACCCUGGCGAUAUUCAGAGCAAAAUAUCGUGGUUUGGAGUUUGAAAUCUGCCACUUGUGAGUCGUGUGAACAGCUGUACAGCGAAAGUGUUCACAACGUUACAAGAUGUAAAUGUUUUUAUUGACUGUGAAAUGAUAUGAACUGUGUUAUCUGUUCUUUAGAGGGGAGAUCAUUUGUGUUUUUCCAC
This is a long non-coding RNA of Hippocampus comes (tiger tail seahorse), 260 nucleotides long. RefSeq lists it as uncharacterized. The record is from RefSeq and is a predicted model, not a curated record. The transcript has 2 exons. NCBI's taxonomy places the organism in Eukaryota, Metazoa, Chordata, Actinopteri, Syngnathiformes, Syngnathidae.